AUGUUACCCUUGUACACGAAGCUUCACAAACGGUUCGCAUGAACUCCAAACGGUGCUCCUUCAACCCUCCUUACAAGAUAAUAUCGAACCAAAAGCAGAUGGAAUAUGCUGCUUCUGACUUAUAUAUAUAAAAAAAUAGGAAGAAUCAAGGCUUCGUUGCAUUGCUAUGGAGGCGACGGUUAUACGAGUUGAACGUUUUGAUGGUGGCUGUCAAAGAUUGUGCAUAGAGGAAGUGAGUUUAUUAUGGAGAUGAUAACUGUUGAGUUGAUUGUUUUAGAUUGGAGGGAGUAUCGACGGUUGUUGGAGGAUUUGGUGUGGGUCGUGCCGGUGAAGUUUAUCGGAAAGGUGAAGGUUGUCGGAAGAGAAAGUUAGUGGAUCGGAGGUUGGGCUCGUGUGGUGGCUUCGCAAUUUGGACGGAAAUGCGAAAGAGAAGAGUGUUGUCGGUUGGAUGCGGUGUUGUGACGGCGGUAGAACCUCGCCGGAGGGCGAUUCGCACAGUGGUCGGAGUUAGUUAAGAGGUUGAAAAAAGGGGUUUUGAUGGCGAGGUAGAUGAACGGAGGGAAGCCGUCGAGGGAGGUGUUUCGUGGUUGAAGGUGGCGGUGUUUGUGUGGAAGGUUAGGUUGAGUGAGCGGUUUUGCCGGUGGGUUUGGAUUGUGUUGUGGUGGUGAUAAGCUGGAGAUUUUUUAUUGUUUUUCUUUUCUAACCUUUUCUCCUUUUCACACAGAGAGAGUAGAGAGUCUGUUAGUUAAAAAGUGGGAAUGGGGUGCCCUUAAUAAUGAGUGGAAGAGAGAGUAUAUGAGUGAGAAAACGUGUACCUCUCUCUUUUAUUUAAUCCUUUCCUUUAUCUUUUGGUCAGAGAGAGACGUUGGAGAAUUA
This 876-nucleotide long non-coding RNA is filed under the name Lathyrus oleraceus (garden pea). RNAcentral's name for it is "Pisum sativum (pea) long non-coding RNA (PSAT_LNC027728)". The record is from RNAcentral. Lineage: Eukaryota; Viridiplantae; Streptophyta; Magnoliopsida; Fabales; Fabaceae.